GUUGGAAGCACAUCAAAAUGGCGAUUUGACGAUGGACAAGACAUGAACUAUUUUCAAUGGAAUUACGGAAAAGGUCAGCCGCAACUUAGAUAUGGAGAAAAUGCUAUAGUUAUGCAAAAGAUAUGGGGUAGUCUGUGGCAUGAUACACCUCUUUCUACACAGGUAAUGUUCGUCUGUGAAAUCCUACUGUGAACCGGAAGAUAUUACUUAGCUGUAUAGUUGCUGCUGCGCAUAUCUGAGGAAUUUACGCACGUA
RNAcentral lists this long non-coding RNA (255 nucleotides) under Mytilus galloprovincialis (Mediterranean mussel). Lineage: Eukaryota; Metazoa; Mollusca; Bivalvia; Mytilida; Mytilidae. The record is from RNAcentral.